GCGGCAGUAGCUCAGUGGUAGAACCCCCGCUUCGAGUGUCGGGAGACCCGGGUUCGAUUCUCGGUUGCUUCC
RNAcentral lists this transfer RNA (72 nucleotides) under Toxocara canis (dog roundworm). It matches the Rfam family "tRNA". From Rfam's summary of the family: Transfer RNA (tRNA) molecules are approximately 80 nucleotides in length. Their secondary structure includes four short double-helical elements and three loops (D, anti-codon, and T loops). The record is from Rfam by way of RNAcentral. Lineage: Eukaryota; Metazoa; Nematoda; Chromadorea; Rhabditida; Toxocaridae.